CCGGAUUGGUCCUUCGGGAAACGCUGCGGGGCGCCUCGGUUCCCGCGGCAGAGCCCGGGCCGGCGCUGGCGGGCUGGAUUUGCCGGGGCCGCUGUCGGUCAGGUCGGCGCCCCUGACAGCUGCAGGAGCCUCCCAAGCGCGGCCGCGGCGCCCGGACACCCACGCCCGCCUGCGCCGCUGCAGCGCCCACCACCCCGAGCGCCCGCAGCCGAGCCCAGAGCCGGGCUCGCGACCUAGGCCGGCAUACUCCCUCAGAGGUGAUGGGAAGAUUGUGUUUUGGAAAUGAAGUAUAAAUGAGAUUAAAAAAUUUAUGGAGAAGGGCCUGAGUUUCCGCCAGGUCUCCACUGGAACUUAGCUUGCUUGACGUCCUGAUAAGUUGGAAUUCAUCAUCAAUACAAACCCACAGCAACAUUUGCAAAGCUGUAAAAACGUCUUGAUCUGAACUGAACAGAAG
RNAcentral lists this long non-coding RNA (454 nucleotides) under Equus asinus (donkey). Its description in RNAcentral is "lncRNA (ENSEASG00005037939.1)". Lineage: Eukaryota; Metazoa; Chordata; Mammalia; Perissodactyla; Equidae. The record is from RNAcentral.